UUUCUCACCUCUCUCUCUCUCUCACUUUCUCGUUCUCUCUCUCUAUAUAUAUUUUUCUCUCUCUAAAGAAGAUGACUUCUUCCAUGAAAGCCACCAACAAGCACCACCUACCAAUCUACCAUUGCCACUAACAAGCACCACAUUUGACCAACCACCUGCCACUGACACUAACAAGCACCACCUUCUACCAUCGUUUUUACCACCCACCUGCCACCACAACCUACCACCACCACAACCCCAAACUUAAAUCAAACACCUUCAACAAUAUUAUACUACACACGAGCCUAUGAAAGAAUACAAAAUAUUAAAAUUUCAAACCAUAAUUGUUGCCUCUUACAGUUAUAGCAAAUUGUGAAACAAAUAGAGCCCAACAGUUAAAACCAUACACAUCCACAGUCAGCCCAGCCCAACCCGAACCGAACGACCUGAACAUUCCAUCUAGGUAUAGAGAUUUCGCUGUCAAGUCCUCACCGGACUCCACACAAUCCCACCGUCUCCGUCGUAGUCACCUCUGAUCAGGUCUUAAACCAUGUGCCAAAGAUAAAGUUGGAAAAAAGGGGCGAUUUAAGGACAUUACAGAUGAAUUCUACACAAACUGUUGAACUUACAGCUGAUGCACGGCCAUGCGCCCCAACUGCACGACCGUGCAUGACCUACGACACCGGAAGCACGGGGAGUGCAUAAGCCAGUGCAGCUGAUUCCUCGGAGACCCACGAUCGUGCGACCAAGUGCACUCCCGUGCACUACCUGAACCUUAAAGAAACUGAGUUUCAAGACCCUGCACUACCAUGCAAUGAUGUGCACGACCGUGCACAUCUGAGACUUAGACCAUUGUCCACUUGUCUGACCCA
Helianthus annuus (common sunflower) is the source of this 851-nucleotide long non-coding RNA. RefSeq lists it as uncharacterized. The transcript has 2 exons. The record is from RefSeq and is a predicted model, not a curated record. NCBI's taxonomy places the organism in Eukaryota, Viridiplantae, Streptophyta, Magnoliopsida, Asterales, Asteraceae.